Molecule: small RNA, 859 nt
Filed under: Histoplasma capsulatum var. duboisii H88
Lineage: Eukaryota; Fungi; Ascomycota; Eurotiomycetes; Onygenales; Ajellomycetaceae
Description: Histoplasma capsulatum H88 hypothetical RNA
Source: RNAcentral
GACCUAACAGUAUUCAAGCGCUCUUUUAACGUAAAAGAAUGAUCCGCUUUAUAUCUCUAUAAUAGUUUCAACUAAAGAAUAUGUAACAAAAACAAAAGAAAAAGAAAAGAAAAAUCCUCCAUUAAAUCCGGAUGCUUUGGCAGAGAAUGAAAUGAUCGUUUGCUUCUUGAUUAAAAGGAAAUGAGAGUGAGAAACGGAAACAGCAAAAAAGGAGGUUGAAAAAACAUAUAGCAAGCAAACAAAAACGGGCUAUAUCCUUUUUAAGGUGUCGAUGUAACAACCGUGGCUGAUAAUGCGAGGUAGUUGUUGCUCUAUUGAAUGUUAGAAAGCAGGAUGGAAAAGAGGCUGGACCAGCAAAGCAAGGGGGUCAUAAAGACGUCGAGCGGAUAAGGAAGGACGAGGGGAUUGAAUAAAGAGCAAAGAUGAGGACCGCAAUGUGGUAAUAAUCCCCUAACCACGAAGUAAUAUUCAUCCGCCUCCUUAUCCAAAGAAGUUAUCAACCAGCCCGACCAUUCCACAAUUGAAACACACUACGUUGGAAAGAAGAAAUGGGAAACCCUAGCUCCUUAAGCCACACAUAAUUAAACAAGAUAACAAAGACAAAAAUUCCGGUACCGAUGUAUGACGACACAGAAGUAAAUAGGUGGCAAUGACACUUGGAUUGGAAUGUAUGCGCAUGCGAAGAUUCAUCCAUCAAAGAUUUAUUAAAUUGCAGGGAACCGAAAUCGGUUAUGCAGCGGAAUGGUAUGGAUCAUUGGAAAGAGCGAAAAGAACGUUAUCAUAGAAUUUUGUUGUGUGAGAUUGUGCAAAGGUAUGGCAUUUGUGAGGCCUGCUCGUGCACACCAAUGAGUGUAUAACG